RNAcentral lists this long non-coding RNA (742 nucleotides) under Homo sapiens (human). RNAcentral describes it as "non-protein coding lnc-LEXM-2:1". The record is from RNAcentral. Lineage: Eukaryota; Metazoa; Chordata; Mammalia; Primates; Hominidae.
GUGCCAGGGACUGGGUGCCGGUGGGGUCCGCUGCGAAUACUGGGGGUGGGCAGUUGGGACUCAGGGCCCCAGGCCCUCGGGGCUGCGGGGCCGCCUCUUCCAAACGCGCCUUAAGCGGUUUUGCAGUGGCUUUCCGCCGGAGGGCUGGGAGGCGCCCCGGCCCUGAGUCAGUCACCCUUUGGCCGGACAGGCGGUUCCCGGGCGCGGAGGAUGGAAACCUGGCGGUAACCUCUGCAGGUCGUGCCACUCGGUGUGCGCAAGGUCUCCAGAGGCAUCUUUUCAUUUUUAGGGGGCACUUUCCACGAAUUCAUUUGAGCUACACAGCAGUCCUGGGCAGUGGGGAGUGGUGAGCUCCAUUGUGUACACUUGGAAGCAGCCCAGAAAGGUGAAGACCUGUUCGUGAACUCCAGAGGCCAUUGGAAGCAUGGAAGGCUAUGGCUGGCACUCUUCCUCUUUUUCCAGUUCACUGAGGCAGAUGGGAGGCCCGGAGGAGAAAGAAUGAAGGAAGGCAUUUCAGCCCGAGUAAACUCCCCAGGCCCGCUCUGUGCCAGGCAGUGUUGCAAGCCUCGGGUAGGGUGCUUCUAGCACGGUGCUUUGUGCACAGUAAACACUCCAGCGGCUGUUGACCAAUGAAUGAAUGAAGAUUGUAGGCUCAAAUAUUCAAGUUAUCAAAGUGCAAAGAAUGAGAGGUUGUUUGCACUGGACUUCAAAAAUAAAUAGCCUGGACCUGUACUGUCUUACA